AGAGUUUGAUCCUGGCUCAGAACGAACGCUGGCGGCAGGCUUAACACAUGCAAGUCGAGCGAGACCUUCGGGUCUAGCGGCGGACGGGUGAGUAACGCGUGGGAACGUGCCCUUCUCUACGGAAUAGCCCCGGGAAACUGGGAGUAAUACCGUAUACGCCCUUUGGGGGAAAGAUUUAUCGGAGAAGGAUCGGCCCGCGUUGGAUUAGGUAGUUGGUGGGGUAAUGGCCCACCAAGCCGACGAUCCAUAGCUGGUUUGAGAGGAUGAUCAGCCACACUGGGACUGAGACACGGCCCAGACUCCUACGGGAGGCAGCAGUGGGGAAUCUUAGACAAUGGGGGCAACCCUGAUCUAGCCAUGCCGCGUGAGUGAUGAAGGCCUUAGGGUUGUAAAGCUCUUUCAGCUGGGAAGAUAAUGACGGUACC
Molecule: ribosomal RNA, 425 nt
Filed under: Paracoccus carotinifaciens
Lineage: Bacteria; Pseudomonadati; Pseudomonadota; Alphaproteobacteria; Rhodobacterales; Paracoccaceae
Description: bacterial SSU rRNA
Rfam family: Bacterial small subunit ribosomal RNA
Source: RNAcentral